ACCGGAAAUUCCUUCCCAUGAGGCGCUGCAACUGCUCAGCACCUGGUAGUGUUGAGUUCGGAACCAUUAAACCAGUGAGAUUCUCAGUGUCUACCCUUUCUCCCAGAGCUGGGUCUUCUUGUGCGUGGCUUUGACUGUGCCACAGGCAGCCAGUGAUCAGCCAUAGAUAUGGACAUCCUUCUGCAGCCGGUCACAGGACAGCAGUACUCACCCUGAACUACUGCCUUUCUAGACCCUGUUGUCACACCCCAAGAUGAAUCAAACGCCAACAUGGUUGCACCUGCUGUCACAGUCCUCCCGUCCACCACGGGUGACCUUCUGCAGCCGAGUCAUUAUUUGUGACAAUGUCUGUCACUGCUCAGCCUUCCGAUCAGAUCUUCCUUUGCCCACCAGAGUGUAGAUGACUCAGCUGAAGAAGAAGAAGCUGACCCUCAGAGAUGAGACACCACUGUGCGGUCCGGUCCCUUGCUUGGCCUUGCAGCUGUGGAGGGAAAACAGCGGUUCACCAGCAGGGGGCGCCCACCUCUUCUGGUCAGCCCACCUGCCUGCUCUAGGCAGUCAGUCCUUGCCUGGCCAUCAGUUUGGCCUCCGGCUGUUGAAUCAAUG
RNAcentral lists this long non-coding RNA (606 nucleotides) under Cricetulus griseus (Chinese hamster). RNAcentral describes it as "lncRNA (ENSCGRG00015038285.1)". Lineage: Eukaryota; Metazoa; Chordata; Mammalia; Rodentia; Cricetidae. The record is from RNAcentral.